CAGAAUGGAGGGCAAUGCAAAGUCUUAAUAUGGGUAGAAAUACAAACGCGAGUGUGUAUGUGCUUGAACAAGAUGUUAUUUGUUUUAGUUGGAACUAUAUAGAUCAACUGAAUUGAACAAAUGCCAAUUUCCACCUUGUGUGUUCCUUAGAAAUACUGGAACCGUUGAAACAGAGAAUCGUGGGAAUACCAUCCGAGUGGAAUUGUGGGAUUCCAUGGAAAAGAAAGCGAUAGUUAUGUUCCUAUACGUUUUCUGUUACUCUGCAACAAGAUUGCACCUGCCUGUGUCGUUCUACGUGAUUCAUAAAGGGGAUUAUAACGCACUUGCUCAUGUGAAACUUGUUUAUUGCGCCUGUAUCUUUUUCUUUCUUCUGCACACUGCGUUGUUGGCCGUAAAUUCUGAUUCAGCUCGACUAUUGACAACAGCAACUUGAAAAAGCCUCCGGCUCGUCAUCCGUCUUUCCCAAGUAGCUCAUCUCCACCCGUUGGAGAUCAUUGCCCCUCCAGGCGGCCGUUGCAGGCAGAAGCUUGAGCGUUGCCACACCAUUGCUCUUUAUUGGGUUUUCAGGAAUGAGGAAGUAUGAGAGGCAGUGUCUUUACGGGAAGCCAGCCAGGCUGGGAGGGAGGGGCGAGUGGGAAUGCACGUGGGCAGAGAGGUUAUGACAAAUAUUUGUUAUGACACACAGGAAGAGAAAACAAAGGAAAAAAGAAAAAAAAAGAAACUGUGCAAAAGGUGGAAAGAUUUAAUUACAUUUGAGCCGGGCUAAUCACAUUUCUCAUCUUGCUCACCGUGCCGUUGGUCUACCCACCCAGCCUUUUCAUCACCGCCAUCAUCAUCAUUGUCGCUGUUGCUACUUGCAAGCUCUUGGCAAGGCAAUAACAACUGCUUAUUGUGAAAGUAAUUCUAUUUGGCAAAAGCCUGGAACUGUACAGAGAAGGAAUUACUGUAGCUGGAGGCAAUAAUACACCGUGUUCCGUUUCACAAUGCCAUCAAAAGAAAACACGUUCCACUUUUUUGGCAGAACCGACAAAUACUACCACAUGGAGAACAAACACACAGUUUACCCUUCCUGGAGCAAAUUAUUGAUCCAGACUGCAUGUUCUCCUCCCCUUUGUAGUCACUACACCGACACUUUUUUUUCCCCCUUCAAAUCCAGAUCCUCUUCUGGCUGGGACUGUUUGUCCUGGGAUGACAGGGAGUGGGAGCAUGCUAGUGUCCCUUGGCUAACAGGUCUUGGCAGAAGCCGGCGCGGUGUGCAGCGCGGUGAGUCAGGUUGGGAGGAAUGCGGCACUCCCACAACAUCCAGCAAGGUUCUCACAUAGGGACGGACGCUGGAAGAGGGGCUGACCUUCACAAGAUUCCUCUUCCUAAUCCCAUCUGGUUUAACGCCUAAAUCCUGACUGGGUUCCAAAAAAGGUCCUCCCUGCUGACCCAGUCUGGCCAUUUUCCCCAGGCUUGCAGGAGUGACACGACCACGGAAGGCCACGGAACCGUGGGAUCCACUUUGACUGUUGAGAGAGCGCUGAGGUGGGGCAGAAAGCUGCCCUGCCUCGCCCUCCCUCUCCCAUUACACAGCUGAGUCAUUCACAAAAAUGUGAAAACAAAGUCAACAACAGAACGGCCCUCCUGGGACUGUAAGCUGAGUAAGAAUGACAGAUGGAUUUACUCACACAUGAAAACACAGGAAAGCAUUCCCAUUCAGUGAAGCAAAGCGGCUCAUAAAGAAAAGGAACGUGGGCAGGAACGUGGGCAGGAACGUGGGUCAGCGCAGAAGCUGUGGUCGACGCCCCCAUGAGGUGUUCAACAACAUUCAGCAAUGGAGAACCUCAUCGCUGAGUGUCAGCUUUUAUUCUGUUGUGAAUACAGACAACAAUUAAAUUUGUACCAUUAGCUUCUCUCAAAAUAGGGAAAGUUGGAUAUAGACACUAUGCAGUAUCUUUUAUGAACACUUUCUGUUUCUUGAAAGGUGCUGGUCUGAACUAACACAUAACUUUGGGGGGGAAAAAAACUUUUUCCUUACUUGUUUGCACAUAUGAUUCAAAUGGAACAGAGACAGAAAACUGCAAAAAUUAUUAUGUAGCUGUGUGAAUGUGUGUUUAUUUCUUCAAAGAAAUGUUUAAUUGUUGAUCAGUUCUUACAUUCCAUUUCUUUUUUGUGUUUUCCCAAAUAGAAAACCUGUAAUAAAUGUCGAUCUUUGUUUUAAAGAA
This is a long non-coding RNA of Xiphophorus couchianus (Monterrey platyfish), 2207 nucleotides long. RefSeq lists it as uncharacterized. The transcript is spliced from 3 exons. The record is from RefSeq and is a predicted model, not a curated record. NCBI's taxonomy places the organism in Eukaryota, Metazoa, Chordata, Actinopteri, Cyprinodontiformes, Poeciliidae.